This 421-nucleotide ribosomal RNA is filed under the name uncultured bacterium. Its description in RNAcentral is "bacterial SSU rRNA". It matches the Rfam family "Bacterial small subunit ribosomal RNA", at positions 355 to 774 of the family's 1533-position model. The record is from RNAcentral.
UAAGGAAUAUUGGUCAAUGGACGCAAGUCUGAACCAGCCAUGCCGCGUGAAGGAUGAAGGUCCUCUGGAUUGUAAACUUCUUUUAUCUGGGACGAAAACGGGAUUUUUAUCUCAAUUGACGGUACCAGAGGAAUAAGCACCGGCUAACUCCGUGCCAGCAGCCGCGGUAAUACGGAGGGUGCGAGCGUUAUCCGGAUUUACUGGGUUUAAAGGGUGCGUAGGUGGGCUUAUAAGUCAGUGGUGAAAUCUCCGAGCUUAACUUGGAAACUGCCGUUGAUACUAUAGGUCUUGAAUUAUCUGGAGGUAAGCGGAAUAUGUCAUGUAGCGGUGAAAUGCUUAGAUAUGACAUAGAACACCAAUUGCGAAGGCAGCUUACUACAUAUAAAUUGACGCUGAGGCACGAAAGCGUGGGGACCAAACA